This 497-nucleotide ribosomal RNA is filed under the name uncultured bacterium. RNAcentral describes it as "partial 16S ribosomal RNA". The stretch from base 20 to 341 matches the Rfam family "Bacterial small subunit ribosomal RNA", at positions 47 to 358 of the family's 1533-position model. The record is from RNAcentral.
GAUGAACGCUGGCGGCGUGCCUAAUACAUGCAAGUCGAGCGAACAGACGAGGAGCUUGCUCCUCUGACGUUAGCGGCGGACGGGUGAGUAACACGUGGAUAACCUACCUAUAAGACUGGGAUAACUUCGGGAAACCGGAGCUAAUACCGGAUAAUAUAUUGAACCGCAUGGUUCAAUAGUGAAAGACGGUUUUGCUGUCACUUAUAGAUGGAUCCGCGCCGCAUUAGCUAGUUGGUAAGGUAACGGCUUACCAAGGCGACGAUGCGUAGCCGACCUGAGAGGGGGAGAGGCAGCAGUGGGAAAGAGAAAGGGGGAAGACAACGAGGGGAGGAAGAAGUAGGGAUGAGUGCGCAAGGGGUGAAAGAAGGAAGGCGCAAUUCGGAGUGAAGAAUGAAGGUAUUCGUAGAGAAAAACGUUGUGAGGGGGCAAGAACAGAAGUGCACGUAAAUAUGCACGCAUGGAGGGGACGUAAGGAGAAAGACAAGGCGAGAGAAGUG